CCUACGGGUGGCAGCAGUGAGGAAUAUUGGUCAAUGGACGAGAGUCUGAACCAGCCAAGUAGCGUGAAGGAUGACUGCCCUAUGGGUUGUAAACUUCUUUUAUAUGGGAAUAAAAUGUUCCACGUGUGGGAUUUUGUAUGUACCAUAUGAAUAAGGAUCGGCUAACUCCGUGCCAGCAGCCGCGGUAAUACGGAGGAUCCGAGCGUUAUCCGGAUUUAUUGGGUUUAAAGGGAGCGUAGGUGGAUUGUUAAGUCAGUUGUGAAAGUUUGCGGCUCAACCGUAAAAUUGCAGUUGAAACUGGCAGUCUUGAGUACAGUAGAGGUGGGCGGAAUUCGUGGUGUAGCGGUGAAAUGCUUAGAUAUCACGAAGAACUCCGAUUGCGAAGGCAGUUCACUGGACUGCAACUGAUACUGAGGCUCGAAAGUGUGGGUAUCAAACAGGAUUAGAUACCCUUGUAGUC
Molecule: ribosomal RNA, 460 nt
Filed under: uncultured bacterium
Lineage: Bacteria
Description: partial 16S ribosomal RNA
Rfam family: Bacterial small subunit ribosomal RNA
Source: RNAcentral